AUAGUAAUUGAUGGCACAUUAUUCUAGUCAAUUACUUUGCUAGGAAGACGAGAAUAAACAAUCGUUAAAGGGCAUAUCUGUGAAACCUUUGGUGCUUGCUUCUUACGCCCAGUUUGGGGUGAGUGCUGGAGAUGAAGAUUUUUGGGCGACGCAUAAUGGCAUAUGUGAGCCGACCCAAUUGUCGUGGAGACCUAUUAUUGUGGUAAGCCUAUACGUGUAUAACUGAUGGACUUAUUACGAAAUGGGAUUAAACCUAUAUUGUGGCGAAAGCUAUGUGUAGUGUAGCCUGUCUUGAGUGAAAGUCUUGGGAUAAAUGAUCUUGCUUAUGAUAAGAGGCCGCUUAUUAUAAGUAUUGCGUUUUGAAAUCACUUUUGCAAAAAAGUACUAAUAGCGAAGUGUUGGGGAGGAAAUCUCCUAGAGUGGGUGCUAAUAUAGGAUUGCAGUGGACACUAAGUGGUAAUCAAGUCGUAUCAUUCGGUGACGAGAUAUAAACUCUUUUAAAGGGGAACCGCAAUUUUGGUAACGGAAUUGUAAGAGUUUGGGAAAACCUACUUGACCUAAGGUUCAAAGUUUACUAUAUUGCUCGCCAAGCAAUUAU
Molecule: small RNA, 598 nt
Filed under: bovine gut metagenome
Source: RNAcentral